AUCUAUGGCCAUACUACCCUGAACGUGCCUGAUCUUAUCUGAUCUCAGAAGCUAAGCAGGACUGGGCCUGGUUAGUACUUGGAUGGGAGAAACUACAGUGUUGUGAGUG
RNAcentral lists this ribosomal RNA (109 nucleotides) under Prolemur simus (greater bamboo lemur). The record is from RNAcentral. Lineage: Eukaryota; Metazoa; Chordata; Mammalia; Primates; Lemuridae.